CAAGCACAAGACACCAGGGAGCCAGACCCCUGCCGCUCCCCUGCCACAGGAUAUGAAUACGAGCCUCAGCUGGUUGGAGCAGCUGGAUGUGCUUCUCAACGCUACUGAUGGAAAUGUGGUCCGGAAUAAGCAGUGGCUGUAUCCUCUUGGGGUCUCCACAGAGCUCAUUGGCCUGUGCAUCUGUUUCUUCUGUAGCAGUGGCUGUAUCCUCUUGGGGUCUCCACCGCAGAAUAGCACUGCUGUCACUCCUACAGUGCUGUGGGAGGACUCAGAGAUUAUGCAGAAGGAAUUGAAGUUGCUGCAGUACCAGUUGAGCCAGCACCAGGAGCUGCUGCUGAAACAGCUGGCUGAGGGACGACAGGCUCAGGUUGGCAGUUGGAAGGAUCUCCAUUCAUGUUUUCCAAUCUAAGCUGCCUCUGCCCACUACCUUCACCAUGUCUGUUUCUUCAUCCAGCUCUUAAUUCAGUCUUCUGGACAGUAACACUAGCUGAGAACUUUUAUGGAAGCCAGAUCCCCAGAGGAGCACCCUUUCUAACCUGGAGCCCAGCAUCUUUCAGCUCCAUGCCCAGAGUCUUAAGCAAGAGGACCUAUUCCUUUGGGGCCCCAAAAUGCUCCUGAAUGACCUGUAAGGACUCGUUAAGAAUAGUAGGAUGAAGGCUUCUUUGCCCACCCUCCCCUCCAAGGCCCUGUUUCUGGGCUGUCUGCCCCUACCUUCUUGAAGUAGCUAUUAUCUGUCUUAUCUACUGAGGCUUUUCACUGCCUGCCCAUCCUUGCCCCCCAACUGCAAUACAAUGGUUUAACCCUCCCUGAUGUGUUUUCUGUGAGUCAGCACCCACAUGGGAUAGAAUCAGCUGUACCUGUUCAUCUUCCUGUUACUUGGAGUGCUUUCUGUGGCGUCUACCCCUGAAAUCCAAGUUCAUAGACAUUUAUAGCUGUAUCUUUUUUUUUUUUUUUUUGAGAUGGAGUCGUGGUCUGUCACCCAAGCUGGAGUGCAGUGGUGCCAUCUCAGCUCACUGCAACCUCUGCCUCCCAGGUUCAAGCAAUUGUCCUGCCUCAGCCUCCCAAGUAGCUGGGAUUACAGGUGUGCGCUAAUUUUUGUAUUUUUAGUAGAGAUGGGGUUUCACCAUGUUGGCCAGUCUGGUCUUGAACCUCUGACCUCAAGUGAUCUGCCCGCCUCGCCCUCCCAAAGUGCUGGGAUUACAGUUGUGAGCCACCAUGCCCAGCCUAUAGCUGUACCUUCUGAGUGCAAGCUCAGUUGAACUUGGAAAGUAAUGGGAGCUCCCAUUCUGGUGAGUAGAAUGAGGUAGGACACUGCUCUAGGGCAGUAGUGCUGGGGGAUGCAAAGGAGGAUGAGAUAUUCUGGUGGGACUUGGAUCUGGACAGUAGGAGGCUACCUUUCCUUAUCUCCAGCUUCUGCCUUUUUUUUUUUUUUUUUUUUUUUUUUGAGGCAAGGUCUUACUCAGUUGCCCAGGCUGGAGUGCAGUGGCAUGAUCUUGGCUCACUGCAGCCUCCGCUUCCUGUACUAAAGCAAUCCUCCCACCUUAGCCCCCCAAGUAAUAAUAUAUGGGACUACAGGCACACGCUAUCAUGCCUGGCUAAUUUUUAAAUAUUUUUUGUAGAGACAGGUUUUCACCAUGUUGCCCAGGCUGGUCUCGAACUCCUGGGCUCAACUGAUCCACCAACUUUGGCCUCCCAAAGUGUUCAGAUUACAGAUGUGAGCUGCUACCAUGCCUACCCCCAGCUUCUGCUGCUUGAGGCUCUCUUUGGCAUCUCCACACAUCAUCCUUAGCAGCCCAGACUGCAUUUCUGUAGCAGCCUCUUCCCUGGUCUCUUCUUUCAGUCUCUCUGCCUCUAAUCCAGUGGCUUUAAGAAUUUUUUGGCUGUGACUUCCAGUAAGAAAUACAAUUUACAUUGUGACCUAGUAAAUAUGUGUGUAGAUUUAUUAACUGAAAUAAAAAUGUUAUGAUUUAAUUUUUA
Pan troglodytes (chimpanzee) is the source of this 1977-nucleotide RNA transcript. It is a transcript of the gene named CCDC163 homolog, with no coding region annotated. The transcript is spliced from 6 exons. Lineage: Eukaryota; Metazoa; Chordata; Mammalia; Primates; Hominidae. The record is from RefSeq and is a predicted model, not a curated record.